This is a long non-coding RNA of Cucumis melo (muskmelon), 1252 nucleotides long. RefSeq lists it as uncharacterized. The record is from RefSeq and is a predicted model, not a curated record. The transcript is spliced from 2 exons. Lineage: Eukaryota; Viridiplantae; Streptophyta; Magnoliopsida; Cucurbitales; Cucurbitaceae.
UCAAACCUAACUUGCCAUUAUCAUAUUAUAUGAAAGUGGACCAUUUGAGUCUGCUAUUCCCUCAUCACGUGGGCCAUUGUCGACUCUCUUUCUCUCUUCUCUCUGAGUCCCAUUAUAGCCGUCUUUUCCUUUGCUCUUAUAUCUCUAACCUAAGCCUCAAAUCCAUUUCAACGCACUAACAAUUUCUUUCCUCUCUAUUUUUUCCAAACUCAAUUUACUAUGACAUUCAUACAUGCCGACCACCCACAUACACCACGGAUUUGAGUGUUCUUGAAAUAUUUCAAGUUUCAAAUUCUUUUUUUAUUUUUUUUAUUUUUAUUGUGGGUUUUUCUUCCGGCCGCCGGCAAGCCACCAUGUUCAACAGAAGAAUCGCCACUUCCUCCUCCUCUUCCUCCACCUCUGCUUUUGCUAUACUAAUUUUGAUCCUCUGGGUGUCACAGAUUUGGGUUUGUUGUCACUGUCAAGCUAGAGCAUCACGGAUUUUUCCUCCUCCUCCUCCUCCGCCGCCGUCCCCACCGCAUACGACGGAUAAAUCACUCCCUGGUGAAGAAAAAGACAACGCCAAAAAUGAACUUCUCCAAAAAUACUUCAACAGCAGAGCCUUCGAUCGUCACCAUCACCGCCAUGAUGAAGGAUUUGAAGACAGCAAACGGAAAAUCCCCAGUUGUCCAGAUCCUCUUCAUAAUUAUUUUGAAGCCAAAUGGUAACUAUUUCAAAGUGCCUCAUCCAAUGGAGAAUUUGCACUUACUACACCAAACUGAACAUAGAAACGUACAAGAAUGGCCAUGGAAAUUGAAAAAGGGGAUGGAGACGGGAAACAACCUUGUCCAUUGUUGUCCGACUCCGUGAACAUCUCUGGUUUAUUGGUUAGGAAAGGAGAGAUCAAAUUAAACGUUUGAAGAAGAAGAAGAAGAAGAAGAAGAAGAAGAAGAAGAAGAAGAAGAAGAAGAAGAAGAAGAAGAAGAAGAAGAAAGAAAGGGGAAGGGGAAAAAAGGAAGCAAAAAACAAAACAGAGAAACCGAGAUAUGAGAAUACGGCGCGUAUUGCGCGGCGAAGAAGUUGAGAAAAAGCUGCAAUUUAUUUAUACACUUAGCCAAGCAGCAGCCCCCCUGCUUUCUUUGUCGCCUUCUAAUUUGGAUUUUGGAAUCAAUCUUCUCUCUUUUUCCACAUUUUUAUUUUCUUUUCCUUCUUUUAUCACAUUUCUCAUUUAUAGAAUCCCUUCUGUUUUAACAUAAUAAAAUUAUUCUUUGUU